Molecule: long non-coding RNA, 599 nt
Filed under: Struthio camelus australis
Lineage: Eukaryota; Metazoa; Chordata; Aves; Struthioniformes; Struthionidae
Description: lncRNA (ENSSCUG00000002704.1)
Source: RNAcentral
CUGUAGCAGACCUCUGUGGAAUAAGCUCUCAGUGAGUGAUGCAGCCUAAAUGCAUUAAAUGUUUGGAGGAGAGGAAGCAGGAGGAAGUCUGGAAACCUGCACAGAGCCAGCGCACAGGAGAGAAGCAAAGUGAACUGAUUUCAAAAUCUGAAUGAGCUUGGGAAAGAUUUGUCACUGUUCAUCCAGCUCUUGAUGUGAACCAGGGUGACAGUCGGUGCUGUUGGUGGGGUCAUGAGGGAAGGUCCCAGCUGCUGACCCUUGCUGCGCUUGGUCUUUCAGUGCAGAGCAGCUCCUGAGCACAGAUGCUGGAGGAGUGCACCCAACCACUACUUGCUGCUCUGUCCAUGGGACCAACUAGAGCUACAUGACCAUAAAACAGCCAAAAUAGGUACUGGGCUCUCAGCACAGCUGGUUCACUCCAUUGAUCUGCUUCUGUUGAGUUGCAAUGCUCGCUAAUGGAAUUGUAGUCAAAAUCUAUUUGGGAUACCGAUGCUAGGUAUGUUUUAUGCACUGCUAAGUCAUGACAAAUAACGUGAGAUCUUACGUCAUACUUGUGUGUCUGACCCAGACUAGGUCUUUGGUUUCUUCAAACAGAUAUG